RNAcentral lists this long non-coding RNA (966 nucleotides) under Brachypodium distachyon (stiff brome). RNAcentral's name for it is "long non-coding RNA (BDIS_LNC005487)". The record is from RNAcentral. Lineage: Eukaryota; Viridiplantae; Streptophyta; Magnoliopsida; Poales; Poaceae.
CUAGAUUCAUUGUAGUUAAAUAGAUAGUAAUAGAUUCAUUGUAGGUCAUGGACUCUUGGUGGACUAAAUCGAGUCCCUCGUUUCAGCGGUCUCGUGGACCUGGUGGGCUGUUUGCCUCGAAAGAUGCUGGACCGUAAGUUAAGGGCAAGUUGAACUUUACCAGCGAUUUCAAACUGACACAUGUUGGCAAUGAAAAUGGCCCAUCUCCGAACACCAAAUCCUUUCGACAUUUGGCAGUAGAAAAAGAGAGCAAAUAUGCACAAGAACAAAAAAUGGAGAGAACAAGAUGAUUUCAGAACAACAAUGAAGAACAUCCUGGAUGAUUUCAGAACAACAAUGAAGAACAUCCUGGAUGGUUUUGCAAGGCCGAAGCAAACAAGUUGGCGUUAAAUUUAUAGGAAUCACAUCAACAAAUCUUGCCAUGAUCCACAGCCACGCCUAUAGUACGAAGAUUUGUACAGCUAAUUAAAAAAAAAGCAUAAUCACGAAAAAAAUAUCAUCUAUGGAGAAAAAUGAAAUCAAAAAUUUGAGUGGCAAAAAACUCUCGCAGCAGCAGAUCAGCAUCACGGGACAUCUUCGAGUUUCCCUUCGGACCAAAAGAACAGCCACGACGACACCGCUUCCUCGUCGACCGGGGAAAGGAAUCCUGAUCUGAGCACCAGCGUAUUUUAAGCUUACGUCACCUCCAGCGGUGCGAUCCAUUUGGGCCGGCGCGGUCUGUUUGCGGGAAGACGCAUUUGGACGGGCAUCCGCUUUUCGGUCCGCGAAGACGCAUUCCGGACACAAAUCUGCGCCGGAUUUGCGUCCCCAUGGACCGAGAAAUGGAGCACCUCGGUCAAAGCUUUUCGUCUCCCCGUCCCCACAUGACGGUGACCCAUCGGUCCAUUCCCCACCCCACCCACCCACUUCGCACCGGAGUCAAAACCCUAGCUCCCCGGCGAGCACUGACCACCGCAAAUGGCGCCC